AUACAGAGGGUGCGAGCGUUAAUCGGAAUUACUGGGCGUAUAGCGCGCGUAGGCGGCUUAUUAAGUCAGAUGUGAAAUCCCCGGGCUCAACCUGGGAACUGCAUCUGAUACUGGUAAGCUAGAGUUUUGGAGAGGGAAGUAGAAUUUCAGGUGUAGCGGUGAAAUGCAUAGAGAUCUGAAGGAAUACCAGUGGCGAAGGCGACUUCCUGGCCAAAAACUGACGCUGAGGUGCGAAAGCGUGGGUAGCAAACGGGAUUAGAAACCCUAGUAGUCC
Molecule: ribosomal RNA, 274 nt
Filed under: uncultured bacterium
Lineage: Bacteria
Description: partial 16S ribosomal RNA
Rfam family: Bacterial small subunit ribosomal RNA
Source: RNAcentral